GGCAGUGCUCGCAAGAGAACCGGAACACAGGUGCUGCAUGGCUGUCGUCAGCUCGUGUCGUGAGAUGUUGGGUUAAGUCCCGCAACGAGCGCAACCCUUGUCAUUAGUUGCUACGCAAGAGCACUCUAAUGAGACUGCCGGUGACAAACCGGAGGAAGGUGGGGAUGACGUCAAGUCCUCAUGGCCCUUAUGGGUAGGGCUUCACACGUCAUACAAUGGUCGGGACAGAGGGUCGCCAACCCGCGAGGGGGAGCCAAUCUCAGAAACCCGAUCGUAGUCCGGAUCGCAGUCUGCAACUCGACUGCGUGAAGUCGGAAUCGCUAGUAAUCGCGGAUCAGAAUGUCGCGGUGAAUACGUUCCCGGGUCUUGUACACACCGCCCGUCACACCAUGGGAGUGGGUUUCACCAGAAGUAGGUAGCCUAACCGUAAGGAGGGCGCUUACCACGGUGGGAUUCAUGACUGGGGUGAAGUCGUAACAAGGUAACCG
Molecule: ribosomal RNA, 488 nt
Filed under: uncultured bacterium
Lineage: Bacteria
Description: bacterial SSU rRNA
Rfam family: Bacterial small subunit ribosomal RNA
Source: RNAcentral